GAAAACUUAGUUAAGAUACUUGAUGCAUAAAACAUGAUUUUCAAAAACACUUAAUCAAAGCAUCAGUUUAAGAAAAGAAUCUAUUCAUUUAUAGAAGAACAGAUUCAUUUUCUAUGCAGUAGAGGAUAUUUUGUAAAACAUGUGAAAAACAGUUUCAUAAAACUUGUGUUUGCUCUUAUCACAUGGUCAGGGGUUAAGAG
This 200-nucleotide long non-coding RNA is filed under the name Phaseolus vulgaris (common bean). RNAcentral describes it as "long non-coding RNA (PVUL_LNC001783)". The record is from RNAcentral. Lineage: Eukaryota; Viridiplantae; Streptophyta; Magnoliopsida; Fabales; Fabaceae.